AGGGUGUAGCGUUUAAAACAUCGGUCUCCAAAACCGCAGUUGGGAGUUCGAGUCUCUCUGCCCCUG
Molecule: transfer RNA, 66 nt
Filed under: Bacteriophage sp.
Also listed under: 1 other name
Description: tRNA-Trp
Rfam family: tRNA
About the family: Transfer RNA (tRNA) molecules are approximately 80 nucleotides in length. Their secondary structure includes four short double-helical elements and three loops (D, anti-codon, and T loops).
Source: RNAcentral